UUGUGGCAAUCAUUGCAGUUUGGUUUGUUGUUGCCCACAGGGUGCCAAUUUCAAAAUCUCUUUGAUAAACGAGUAAAAUCGGCUGUUUCUAUCUCGUCUUCUCGUUGUAUAGCUGCACUGCGGCUGGUUGGCCGUCGACGAGACGGUUUUUCUUGGUGUUUUGUGGCAUAAAAUUAUCAAAUAAAUACUAUUUAAAACAAGUAGUUUUAAUUAAAUACUACUUUACUACUACGGUCAGCUUCGUGCAAAUCAAAAACAACAUAGUCAGCAAAAACCCACACCAAGUCGUUAAACAAUAUGCUUAAGCAUUUGUUUUCUCAUAAAUUGCAAGAAUUAGUUAAAUAAACUGAGAUGUCUACAAAAAGAGGAAUAUAAAAAUAUUGAAUAAUUAAAACAAGCUAAAAGCUACCCGACGUAGUAGUUCCGAAAUUACAUACAAUUAAGCGAAAUCUUUAAAUCGACAUAAGUGUGAGAUGCAAUUUUAGGGAGCAAUUGCUAAUCAAUGCCUGCGACUGCAGGGGUCGUUUAUGCGUCUGUGCGUAUGAAACGUUAUUAAAAAAAAAGGCAAAAUAUAAAUUUUGUUUCGCUAAAAAAUUUUCGACUAAGUUGAAACACAACUUAACCAAAUAAAACACAUGUAUAUACGUAUGUACAUAUGAAACUGGAAUUAAAUAGUAUCGAUAUAACAAUAAAACAAAACAGAGAGUUGGGUGUUCGCGUUGGUGCGCUUUCGAAACGGUUAGUUCCCGAUUUGUAUGCUUCAUAAAAAAUAUAAAAAUACCCAACAAUAGAAGGUUGACAUAGUGCACGUUUGGCUGUUAACUGCAUUUUCAGAUAUUUUAAUUAAAUUACAUUUAGUUUCACGAGCAAUAAGCCUUUCCGAAACAACCCUUCAAUAGACCUAAUUCGAUUGCUGUGUUGUUUUUUUUUUUUUGUUGUGUAAAAAAUCACAUACUAUUUUCUUGCACAAAACAAGAAGAUAUGGAAUUUGGAAAAUUUGGUGUAUUUCAAUAUCUACAUAAUUAAAACUGGUGUUCAUUAAACAACUAUUGUAAAAUCUGCUUGCUGACAAUAAAUGCAAACGAUUCACAGCAGACCAGCGUCACAAAUCUGUCAAACUGAAAUUGCUCAACAAUAUUUUUUUUUUGGCAUACACAAUUUUUUAUAUUUGUGUGAAGUUUUCAUUUCGUAAAUAUUAAGAAAUAUGCGGUUAAAAAUAAUCAGAUAAUUAAUUGGCCGCCACAGUAAUAGCAAAUCAGUGUAAGCGGCAGCAAUUUCACUUGAUCCGAGGAAGAGGAAAAUCAAAAAAAACAAACAUCUCCGUAUAUAGCCACAGCUAAAUAACGCUUUAAUAUUCUGCUUCAACCGCACACCGUCCACGUAGAGCUAUAAGGACAGCGCACGGGUGCACCGCAUUUUCUUAAGGAGAGGAACGGCAGCGGAUCAUAACUACACCAGGCAGUGACAGCCUCGUUAGGUUGGAACCCACCGAAGCGACUUACAAACAACAACAACAACGACAGCAAACUUUAUAAAUAAAUUCAAAGCGUUGACGGACGAAAACAAUAUCCUUUGUCUUAAAACUUUGUGGUAAAAUCGGAGCUUUUUUGUUCUAAAUAUAAAAUCGCUACUAACAAGCAACACGCGCCCGCCCUAAGCAAUUGACUUCAUGCAAACCUGUGAAUGUAAUCGACAGCCGUUAAACGAAAAUAACGCAUAAAAAAAAAACAAACGCAAAAAAAAUAUAUAUCUGUGAGUUUACAACAUUGCGUAAGGAUUCGUGUGGCCUGGAAUGUGAGUAACUGAGUGCGUGUGUGUGCGUGGGAUCGCAAAUCUAAGGCGCAAAAACAUUGUAAUUCAUAAAUGUUAUUCUAGUUCGAUACCAAUCCAAACUCUGCAGUGGUUGUAACAAUAGAAUUUUUUUUGUUGGAAUCUAUAAACAAGCACUUUUUCUCACACUAACCAAUUGUUUGGUUUGGUGGCUAUUUUGCAUACAUACAUAUUUGCAACUAUUGAAUUUUUUCUACAACAACUCAAAAUCUACUCUUUUGCUGGCGGCUAA
RNAcentral lists this long non-coding RNA (2062 nucleotides) under Rhagoletis pomonella (apple maggot). RNAcentral describes it as "uncharacterized LOC118754676". The record is from RNAcentral. Lineage: Eukaryota; Metazoa; Arthropoda; Insecta; Diptera; Tephritidae.